This 486-nucleotide ribosomal RNA is filed under the name uncultured bacterium. Its description in RNAcentral is "partial 16S ribosomal RNA". It matches the Rfam family "Bacterial small subunit ribosomal RNA", at positions 30 to 507 of the family's 1533-position model. The record is from RNAcentral.
AUUGAACGCUGGCGGCAUGCCUUACACAUGCAAGUCGAACGGCAGCACGGGUGCUUGCACCUGGUGGCGAGUGGCGAACGGGUGAGUAAUACAUCGGAACAUGUCCUGUAGUGGGGGAUAGCCCGGCGAAAGCCGGAUUAAUACCGCAUACGAUCUACGGAUGAAAGCGGGGGACCUUCGGGCCUCGCGCUAUAGGGUUGGCCGAUGGCUGAUUAGCUAGUUGGUGGGGUAAAGGCCUACCACGGCGACGAUCAGUAGCUGGUCUGAGAGGAGGACCGGCCACACUGGGACUGAGACACGGCCCAGACUCCUACGGGAGGCAGCAGUGGGGAAUUUUGGACAAAGGGCGAAAGCCUGAUCCAGCAAUGCCGCGUGUGUGAAGAAGGCCUUCGGGUUGUAAAGCACUUUUGUCCGGAAAGAAAUCCUUGGCCCUAAUACGGUCGGGGGAUGACGGUACCGGAAGAAUAAGCACCGGCUAACUACGUG